GCCUAGUGGUACAUGUUGAAAGAAGGAAAAGCAAGCACUGAAAAUCUAUAUUUAUGAAAAAUUUCUUGGGUUAGGCAACAUCGACUAGAGCCUGGAGAAUUCCCAUCAUUACAUGUCAAGGGUUGCUUUUCCUUUUCCUAUGAACAGUACCAGGAAGGAGAACAUCGACAGUGCCAUGUCCUAUGUCCACAGCAUUGUGCUCCUUCAUCCUUUAUUCCUGGGAUACAUUUGGGUAAUAGGAAAGGGGUAUAGUGUGAAGUCACGUUUUGAGAAAAACCAGGUGAUCCUUACUGCUCAUAAAGUAACAUCCCCCCAUCAUUGCAAAGGAGUUUUCAGAAUUUACAUCUACUAACCUACAGCGUAUACAUGGCUUUAUAUUCUCUAGCUUAAAAUGACACUAGGAAAGACUGCACAGAACAUGUGCAUAACCACUGUUUCCAAUAUUUUGAGCUGCCCUGAAAGAAAGAGAUAACAAUAACUAAAACUGGCAUAGCAUUUACUACAUGCUUGGCAAUAUUUUAAGAAUUUUACAUGGAUUAGUGCAUUUUCACAACUCUCUGAGUUAUGGUCAAUGAGUCCCAUCUUAGGAAGAAAGUGAAGUACAGAGAGAUGACAGAAGUUGCUCCACAUUAUAUUAUUGAUAAGGGGUGGACAAGGAUCUGCACAUUGGUGGUCUGUUCUGAAGUCGCUGCUCUAUCCUGCUUACUGCUAGGGCAAUGUAACCAUAGAAAGGGGGUAAGUAAUAUAUUUACAUUUUUCAAAAUAAGUGUAGAGAGCAAAACCUAAAAAAACAGGAACUUAGAAUUGUACUCUUUUAUGUGAUAUCAGAAAACCUGGUUACAAUAAUUUUACCCGUUAAAAAUAUGUGAAGGCUUGUUUCAGAAACUAAUUUUCUGGGCUCACAUCUUAUUCCAGAAGAUCAGUGACUGCAUGGUACAUUAUACAUAAUUUAAUUUUCCCAGUUGAACAUCGUGACACUAUAUGAACCAUGAAUGCACGAAAUAGGAAUUCCAAAUGUCUUCCAUACGGCACUUUGCUCAUUUCCUGAGCGCUGUGGAAGGCAUGUGGAUGCUCAUUAAGUUUCCAACCAUUCCCCGAGAGCAACAGGUGGUGAAUCAAAGCUUCCCUGAGUUGUCUACAUUAUUUUAAGCCCAAAGUAUGAUAACAAGAGGUUCUAUUGCUUAGAAAAUCUCCCGAAUUCUACUAAAGAAGUAUAAAGGAAUCUCAGGAGAAAAUAAAAGUCUUUUCUGUUGGACAGAACUGACUAUUUUUUGUGGAAAUAACAUUUGAAGGCAAAAGGGUGAUACUAUUUCAUGAUGGCCAGUUAGUGGAAUGACAAUUGUAUUAAAAGAUACAGAAGCAUUAAACGAACAGUGAAGUGACAAAAGAAAGCAUUUCCUUUCAUCUAAAUGCCUUAACAAUCCUCAUUUCAAGGAAUAUCCACCAAGUCCAACCAGAAGUUUCAUCUUAAGUAUUAUUACUUUCAAAUUAUGAAGCACCAUAGUUUGUUCUGGUAUUAUCACAAAGUGAUGUCUGAUACUGCUUGUUAAGCUGCGUGAUUAGAUCAAAAAAGGACAAUGGAUUUCUUGAUGGUUUAGGUCAAAGUUACUUCAGGAAUGUAAAAGAAAAACGAUUCUGUCUACAACUAUAUAAAUGAAAGUUUGCACUGUGAGUAAUAAGACUAAAAUGAGAUUAAGCUAGAGGAGAAAGGCUGAUUAUCAAGAAUAUGUUUGUUAAUCUGUUCAAAGAAUGUCUAAGUAGAUUAAACUUCACACAGAUAAAACCUUACAUAUUUGAUCUUCUUUUACUUUCUCUUUUACUUUUCAAUCAGUGAGUUUAAGAAGAUCCAGUAAAAAGAACUUGUAUACAUUUUUUGCUUAAAAUUCUCUUUUAUGUUAUGGCCCUUGAAAACAGUAAAUCUCAAUAGAAUAUACACCUAAUAAAAACAAACAUACUGAUGGCAAAUAUAUGCUUUGUAUUGCUUCAUAAAAGUCCCCCCACACUCAUUUUUGCAGACAUCCUAUCUGAAACAUUUGUGGAAAUACAUAGGUUGUUACGUUAUUGUCCAACAGGUGUUCUCAUCACAUCUUUCCCUUCCACCAAAUGAAAGGAUUGGAUGACUACUUUAAAAAAAGAUAUUUAUUUAAACAUGCACAGAUACAUAAACACACAUCCAGUUUUCUAAUCAAGAAAAAGAUGUGUAAGACAUUACGGGAUAUUUUAUAAUGUAGAUUGACUACUUAGAGAUAUUGAGCAUUUAACUUUU
Molecule: long non-coding RNA, 2266 nt
Organism: Cebus imitator (Panamanian white-faced capuchin)
Lineage: Eukaryota; Metazoa; Chordata; Mammalia; Primates; Cebidae
Exons: 3
Source: RefSeq, a predicted model, not a curated record